UCCUACGGGAGGCAGCAGUGGGGAAUAUUGGACAAUGGGGGAAACCCUGAUCCAGCGACGCCGCGUGAGUGAAGAAGUAUUUCGGUACGUAAAGCUCUAUCAGCAGGGAAGAAAAAAAGUCCUUUGGACUUCGGACGGUACCUGACCAAGAAGCCCCGGCUAACUACGUGCCAGCAGCCGCGGUAAUACGUAGGGGGCAAGCGUUAUCCGGAUUUACUGGGUGUAAAGGGAGCGUAGGUGGCAGGGCAAGUCAGAUGUGAAAACCCGGGGCUCAACUCCGGGAGUGCAUUUGAAACUGUCCAGCU
Molecule: ribosomal RNA, 305 nt
Filed under: uncultured bacterium
Lineage: Bacteria
Description: bacterial SSU rRNA
Rfam family: Bacterial small subunit ribosomal RNA
Source: RNAcentral